Molecule: ribosomal RNA, 253 nt
Filed under: uncultured prokaryote
Also listed under: 1 other name
Description: partial 16S ribosomal RNA
Rfam family: Bacterial small subunit ribosomal RNA
Source: RNAcentral
UACGGAGGGUGCAAGCAUUAAUCGGAUUUAUUGGGCGUAAAGGGCGCGUAGGCGGAUUUGUAAGUCGUAUGUGAAAUUCCGAAGCUCAACUUCGGAGCUGCAUAUGAAACUGUGAAUCUAGAGGGAUGGCGGAGAAAAUGGAAUUCCACGUGUAGCGGUGAAAUGCGUAGAUAUGUGGAAGAACACCGGUGGCGAAAGCGGUUUUCUAGCUAUUACCUGACGCUGAGGCGCGAGAGCAAGGGGAGCAAACAGG